GGAGAGGUGCUGGAGUGGCUGAACAGGACAGAUUGCUAAUCUGUUGUACUGGGUAAACUGGUACCGGGGGUUCGAAUCCCCCCCUCUCCGCCA
Molecule: transfer RNA, 93 nt
Filed under: Acidobacteriota bacterium
Lineage: Bacteria; Pseudomonadati; Acidobacteriota
Also listed under: 1 other name
Description: Acidobacteria bacterium tRNA-Ser
Rfam family: tRNA
About the family: Transfer RNA (tRNA) molecules are approximately 80 nucleotides in length. Their secondary structure includes four short double-helical elements and three loops (D, anti-codon, and T loops).
Source: RNAcentral